Molecule: ribosomal RNA, 301 nt
Filed under: uncultured bacterium
Lineage: Bacteria
Description: partial 16S ribosomal RNA
Rfam family: Bacterial small subunit ribosomal RNA
Source: RNAcentral
CAGCAGCCACGGUAAUACGAAGGGGGCUAGCGUUGUUCGGAUUUACUGGGCGUAAAGGGCGCGUAGGCGGACUGAUAAGUCAGGGGUGAAAUCCCAAGGCUCAACCUUUGAACUGCCUUUGAUACUGUUUGUCUUGAGUUCGAGAGAGGUAAGUGGAACUGCGAGUGUAGAGGUGAAAUUCGUAGAUAUUCGCAAGAACACCAGUGGCGAAGGCGGCCUACUGGCUCGAAACUGACGCUGAGACGCGGAAGCGUGGGGAGCAAACAGGAUUAGAUACCCCAGUAGUCCCUGUCUCUUAUAC